Long non-coding RNA from Cyprinus carpio carpio, 258 nucleotides. Lineage: Eukaryota; Metazoa; Chordata; Actinopteri; Cypriniformes; Cyprinidae. The record is from Ensembl.
AUCUGAAGUCUGCAGGACGGUAGCUCUCCAGGAGCAGGGUUGGAGAUCCCUGAUCUAGGGUGCUGUUUUCAGGAAACAGACUGUUCAUGGUCAGUUCUGGAUCUCUGUCAUCUCCCCGAAGGCCACUGGGCCCAAACACGUGCACCGGGUGACAAGUGUUCCACCUCUGCAUAAGGACAGCCAGCCCUCAUUCCUUUUGGAACACGAGCCCAGGGCUGACUUAAUUGAAGUGGGCAGUGUUAGGACCGAAGUCAACAC